Molecule: non-coding RNA, 82 nt
Organism: Echinostoma caproni
Lineage: Eukaryota; Metazoa; Platyhelminthes; Trematoda; Plagiorchiida; Echinostomatidae
Source: Rfam
GUCCUCGUAGCUGAGCUGGUAGAGCAUGCGCGUGCAAAGCGUAGGCGGCGUCCAUGCGUGGCUUCCAAUCCCACCGAGGCUA